UAAUACGUAGGUGGCAAGCGUUGUCCGGAAUUAUUGGGCGUAAAGAGCAUGUAGGCGGGAAUCUAAGUCUGUUGUGAAAAUGCGGGGCUCAACCCCGUAUUGCGAUGGAAACUGGGUUUCUUGAGUGCAGGAGAGGAAAGGGGAAUUCCCAGUGUAGCGGUGAAAUGCGUAGAUAUUGGGAGGAACACCAGUGGCGAAGGCGCCUUUCUGGACUGUGUCUGACGCUGAGAUGCGAAAGCCAGGGUAGCGAACGGGAUUAGAUACCCCGGUAGUCCUGGCCGUAAACGAUGGGUACUAGGUGUAGGGGGUAUCGACCCCCCCUGUGCCGGAGUUAACGCAAUAAGUACCCCGCCUGGGGAGUACGGCCGCAAGGUUGAAACUUAAAUGAAUUGACGG
This 396-nucleotide ribosomal RNA is filed under the name bacterium enrichment culture. Its description in RNAcentral is "bacterial SSU rRNA". It matches the Rfam family "Bacterial small subunit ribosomal RNA", at positions 521 to 916 of the family's 1533-position model. The record is from RNAcentral.